Molecule: transfer RNA, 89 nt
Filed under: Danio rerio (zebrafish)
Lineage: Eukaryota; Metazoa; Chordata; Actinopteri; Cypriniformes; Danionidae
Rfam family: tRNA
About the family: Transfer RNA (tRNA) molecules are approximately 80 nucleotides in length. Their secondary structure includes four short double-helical elements and three loops (D, anti-codon, and T loops).
Source: Rfam by way of RNAcentral
GGCUCUGUGGUGCAAUGGAUAGCGCAUUGGACUUCUAGGCUGUGAGCUGAGCCAUUCAAAGGUUGUGGGUUCGAGUCCCACCAGAGUUG